This is a non-coding RNA of Camellia sinensis, 833 nucleotides long. Lineage: Eukaryota; Viridiplantae; Streptophyta; Magnoliopsida; Ericales; Theaceae. The record is from RefSeq and is a predicted model, not a curated record.
UUGAGGGCAAUGGUGUGUGUAUAGCUACCAUUGGAUUGCAAAGCACAACAUUGCAGUGAUGAGAUUACAUAUAUAUCAUCACUAUAAAAACACAGGUUAAUUAGGACUAAGAAGAGCAAGCAAGUCCAUUAUUCAAAUCAUAUAUGGCAACUUCUCUUCAUUAUUUCUGCAGUUUAAGUUGUAAAUCGUCUUUCAAGCAUCCUAAGAUAUGGAAAUGUCCUCGAGUGAGAUCCCAAAGCUUUCAUGAUGAAGAUCGAUUUUGGUGGUAGAGAAGACAUUUUCCUGAAGGAUUUUAUCGAGAUGGAGAUGAGGAACAAAGCCAAAAUCAGAAGGAAAACUUAGCUGGUGUAAGGGAGAGAGAGUGAGAGUUAGUGGGGUGCAUUGUUUUUAAUCUCUUGAUGGGUCUCGGGUUGUAUUGGUUAGUGGUGGUUUUGUGCUGGGUGUGUCGUAGUGGUGUGUUUGGUUUGUAAGGGUUUUUUUUUUAUUCUAGAGGGUUGAUGGUUUUUUUUUUUAUUGUUAGCAGUGGUUGAUAUUUGGUGUUUGUCCUGCUUGGGUGGAGGUCCUGUUUGGGUGUCUGUCCUGUUUGGGUUUGCAGUGGUUGGGUUGGUGUGUUAGGGGAUUUGGGUUUGGUGUUUGGUGUGAAGUUCUUCUUAAUCCUUUUUAUUUUUUUGUUUAAUCUUUUAUAUCGUGAAGCCGAGGGGUUCGUUAGAUGGUUGCGAGUAGCAGUAGUAGGGAUAGUCUGUACUAUCUCGAAUCUCUCUCGAUUUCUGUCAUCUUUCUGUACCUUUAAUUUCAUGUUUUUUAAUGAAAUUUUUCUUUGCUGAUAAAAAAAA